ACGGAAGGUGAGGAUGAUGUCAAGUCAGCAUGACCUUUACUAUCCAGGGCUACACACACGCUACAAUGGUCUGUACAAUGGGUAGCCAAGCCGCGAGCGGAGCCAAUCCUGAAAGCAGGCCUCAGUUCAGAUUGCAGUCUGCAACUCGACUGCAUGAAGCCGGAGUUGCUAGUAACCGCAGGUCAGCAAUACUGCGGUGAAUACGUUCCCGGGUCUU
Molecule: ribosomal RNA, 217 nt
Filed under: uncultured Anaerolineaceae bacterium
Lineage: Bacteria; Bacillati; Chloroflexota; Anaerolineae; Anaerolineales; Anaerolineaceae
Description: partial 16S ribosomal RNA
Rfam family: Bacterial small subunit ribosomal RNA
Source: RNAcentral